This 2010-nucleotide ribosomal RNA is filed under the name bioreactor metagenome. RNAcentral's name for it is "bacterial LSU rRNA". It matches the Rfam family "Bacterial large subunit ribosomal RNA", at positions 1 to 2064 of the family's 2925-position model. The record is from RNAcentral.
GCGAAUAAGCGCACACGGUGGAUGCCUUGGCGGUCAGAGGCGAUGAAGGACGUGGUAGCCUGCGAAAAGUGUCGGGGAGCUGGCAACAAGCUUUGAUCCGGCAAUGUCCGAAUGGGGAAACCCACCUCCUAGGAGGUAUCGUGCAGUGAAUACAUAGCUGUACGAGGCGAACGCGGUGAACUGAAAUAUCUAAGUAACCGUAGGAAAAGAAAUCAACCGAGAUUCCCUGAGUAGUGACGAGCGAACGGGGAACAGCCCAAAAGUCGAUAUGGUUCUAGCAAAACGGUCCUGGAAAGACCGGCCAUAGAAGGUGAUAGCCCUGUAUGCGAAAGGGCCAUAUCGAUGAAAAAUGAGUAGGGCGGGGCACGAGAAACCCUGUCUGAACAUGGGGGGACCAUCCUCCAAGGCUAAAUACUCCUGACCGACCGAUAGUGAACCAGUACCGUGAGGGAAAGGCGAAAAGAACCCCGGAGAGGGGAGUGAAAUAGAUCCUGAAACCGUGUGCGUACAAGCAGUAGGAGCUCCGCAAGGAGUGACUGCGUACCUUUUGUAUAAUGGGUCAGCGACUUACUGUUCGUGGCAAGCUUAACCGUAUAGGGGAGGCGAAGGGAAACCGAGUCUGAUAAGGGCGCAUAGUCGCGGGCAGUAGACCCGAAACCGGGUGAUCUAGUCAUGCCCAGGGUGAAGGUGCGGUAACACGCACUGGAGGCCCGAACCCACUCCCGUUGCAAAGGUAGGGGAUGAGGUGUGAUUAGGAGUGAAAAGCUAAUCGAACCCGGAGAUAGCUGGUUCUCCUCGAAAGCUAUUUAGGUAGCGCCUCAUGUGAAUCUUCCUGGGGGUAGAGCACUGUUAUGGCUAGGGGGUCAUUGCGACUUACCAAACCAUUGCAAACUCCGAAUACCAGGACAGACUGCAUGGGAGACACACGGCGGGUGCUAACGUCCGUCGUGAAAAGGGAAACAACCCAGACCCACAGCUAAGGUCCCAAAUUCACUGCUAAGUGGAAAACCAUGUGGAAAGGCACAGACAGCCAGGAGGUUGGCUUAGAAGCAGCCACCCUUUAAAGAAAGCGUAAUAGCUCACUGGUCGAGUCGGUCUGCGGGGAAGAUUUAACGGGGCUAAGCAGUGAACCGAAGCUUGGGGUGCAUAACUUUGUUAUGCGCGGUAGAGGAGCGUUCCGUAAGCCGUUGAAGGUGGAUUGAGAAGUCUGCUGGAGGUAUCGGAAGUGCGAAUGCUGACAUGAGUAACGAUAAUGCGGGUGAAAAGCCCGCACGCCGAAAGCCCAAGGUUUCCUUGCGCAACGUUAAUCGACGCAGGGUGAGUCGGCCCCUAAGGCGAGGCAGAAAUGCGUAGUCGAUGGGAAGCUGGUUAAUAUUCCAGCACCUCGCAUAAGUGCGAUGGGGGGACGGAGAAGGUUAGGUGUACCGGGCGUUGGUUGUCCCGGGGAAAGGCGGUAGGUUUGGAUCUUUGGCAAAUCCGGGAUCCUUUAAGACCGAGCACCGAGACGAGUCUUUAAGACGAAGUCACUGAUACCACGCUUCCAGGAAAAGCUCCUAAGCUUCAGCUUACGCAGACCGUACCGUAAACCGACACAGGUGGGUAGGAUGAGAAUUCUCAGGCGCUUGAGAGAACUCGGGUGAAGGAACUAGGCAACAUGGCACCGUAACUUCGGGAGAAGGUGCACCCUUUUUGGUGGCUCGUGCGAGCUAUAGCUGAAGAGGGUCGCAGUAACCAGGCCGCUGCGACUGUUUAUCAAAAACACAGCACUCUGCAAACACGAAAGUGGACGUAUAGGGUGUGACGCCUGCCCGGUGCCGGAAGGUUAAUUGAUGGGGUUAGCUAACGCGAAGCUCUUGAUCGAAGCCCCGGUAAACGGCGGCCGUAACUAUAACGGUCCUAAGGUAGCGAAAUUCCUUGUCGGGUAAGUUCCGACCUGCACGAAUGGCGUAACGAUGGCGGCGCUGUCUCCACCCGAGACUCAGUGAAAUUGAAAUCGCUGUGAAGAUGCAG